RNAcentral lists this ribosomal RNA (803 nucleotides) under marine metagenome. Its description in RNAcentral is "bacterial SSU rRNA". It matches the Rfam family "Bacterial small subunit ribosomal RNA", at positions 503 to 1324 of the family's 1533-position model. The record is from RNAcentral.
ACGUGCCAGCAGCCGCGGUAAUACGUAGGAUGCGAGCGUUGUCCGGAAUUAUUGGGCGUAAAGGGCGUCUAGGUUGAUUAAUAAGUCCUGUGUGAAAUCUCUUGGCUCAACCAAGAAAUGUCACAGGAAACUAUUAAUCUAGAGGUCAUCAGAGGUAAGUGGAAUUCACGGAGUAGUGGUGAAAUGCGUAGAUACCGUGAGGAACACCAGAGGCGAAAGCGGCUUACUAGGAUGAACCUGACACUAAAGCCCGAAAGCGUGGGGAGCAAACCGGAUUAGAUACCCGGGUAGUCCACGCCAUAAACGAUGGAUACUAGUUAUGGGAGGCAUUGACCCAUCUGUAACGAAGCUAACGCAUUAAGUAUCCCGCCUGGGGAGUACGGCCGCAAGGUUAAAACUCAAAGAAAUUGACGGGGACCCGCACAAGCAGCGGAGCGUGUGGUUUAAUUCGAUGAUAAGCGAAGAACCUUACCAAGGCUUGAAAUAUAUCUGACAGCUAGUGAAAGCUAGUCUCCUUCGGGCAGAUAUACAGAUGUUGCAUGGCUGUCGUCAGCUCGUGCCGUGAGGUGUUGGGUUAAGUCCCGCAACGAGCGCAACCCUCAUCGUUAGUUACUAUGUCUAGCGAGACUGCCUCUAAAAAAGAGGAGGAAGGUGGGGAUGACGUCAAGUCAGCAUGGCUCUUACGCCUUGGGCUACACACACGCUACAAUGGCCAGUACAAAGGGCUGCAAAGGAGCGAUCCGGAGCUAAUCCCAUAAAGCUGGCCCCAGUUGGAAUUGCAGGCUGCAACUCGCCUGCAUGAA